AUACGUAGGGAGCGAGCGUUGUCCGGAUUUACUGGAUGUAAAGGGUGCGUAGGCGGCUCUGCAAGUCAGGUGUGAAAACCAUCGGCUUAACUGAUGGACUGCAUUUGAAACUGUGGGGCUUGAGUGGAGUAGAGGCAGACGGAAUUCCCGGUGUAGCGGUGAAAUGCGUAGAGAUCGGGAAGAACACCAGUGGCGAAGGCGGUUUGCUGGGCUCUAACUGACGCUGAGGCACGAAGGCAUGGGUAGCAAACAGGAUUAGAUACCCUGGUAGUCCAUGCCGUAAACGAUGAUUACUAGGUGUGGGGAGUCUGACCCUCUCUGUGCCGGAGUUAACACAAUAAGUAAUCCACCUGGGAAGUACGACCGCAAGGUUAAA
RNAcentral lists this ribosomal RNA (376 nucleotides) under uncultured bacterium. RNAcentral's name for it is "bacterial SSU rRNA". It matches the Rfam family "Bacterial small subunit ribosomal RNA", at positions 523 to 898 of the family's 1533-position model. The record is from RNAcentral.